Non-coding RNA from Schistocerca gregaria, 71 nucleotides. Lineage: Eukaryota; Metazoa; Arthropoda; Insecta; Orthoptera; Acrididae. The record is from the annotation of a RefSeq genome assembly.
GGCUUAUUAGUUCAGUGGUAAAAUCGUCCCUUAGGGUGGGACAGUCCCCGGUUCGAUUCCGGGAUAAGCCC